CCCCUACGGGGGGCAGCAGUGGGGGAUAUUGCACAAUGGGGGAAACCCUGAUGCAGCGACGCCGCGUGUGGGAAGACGGUCUUCUGGAUUGUAAACCACUGUCCCCAGGGACGAAAAUGACGGUACCUGGGGAGGAAGCUCCGGCUAACUACGUGCCAGCAGCCGCGGUAAUACGUAGGGAGCAAGCGUUAUCCGGAAUUACUGGGUGUAAAGGGAGAGUAGGCGGCAAGGUAAGCGAUAUGUGAAAGCCUU
Molecule: ribosomal RNA, 252 nt
Filed under: uncultured bacterium
Lineage: Bacteria
Description: partial 16S ribosomal RNA
Rfam family: Bacterial small subunit ribosomal RNA
Source: RNAcentral